AAGGGUAGAGCUUAGUGGUAGAGCACAAGCUUAGCAUUCAUGGGGUCCUGGGUUCAAUCCCCAGUACCUCCA
RNAcentral lists this transfer RNA (72 nucleotides) under Camelus bactrianus (Bactrian camel). It matches the Rfam family "tRNA". From Rfam's summary of the family: Transfer RNA (tRNA) molecules are approximately 80 nucleotides in length. Their secondary structure includes four short double-helical elements and three loops (D, anti-codon, and T loops). RNAcentral also lists the same sequence under 2 other names. The record is from Rfam by way of RNAcentral. Lineage: Eukaryota; Metazoa; Chordata; Mammalia; Artiodactyla; Camelidae.